RNAcentral lists this ribosomal RNA (774 nucleotides) under uncultured Neocallimastigales. RNAcentral's name for it is "partial large subunit ribosomal RNA". It matches the Rfam family "Eukaryotic large subunit ribosomal RNA", at positions 23 to 616 of the family's 3401-position model. The record is from RNAcentral. Lineage: Eukaryota; Fungi; Neocallimastigomycota; Neocallimastigomycetes; Neocallimastigales.
AGAGAGAGACAUGCGCGCAUAUCAAUAAGCGGAGGAAAAGAAACUAACAAGGAUUCCCCUAGUAACGGCGAGUGAAGCGGGAAGAGCUCAAAUUUGAAAUCUUAAAGGGUUUCCCUUUACGAAUUGUAGUUUAAAGAAGUGUUUUCUGUUGAGGUUUUGGUAAAAGUUCUUUGGAAUAGGACAUCAUAGAGGGUGAGAAUCCCGUAUUUGACCUUUACUUUCAACUUUGUGAUACACUUUCAAAGAGUCGGAUUGUUUGGGAAUGCAGUCCAAAAUGGGUGGUAAAUUUCAUCUAAAGCUAAAUAUUGGCGAGAGACCGAUAGCGAACAAGUACCGUGAGGGAAAGAUGAAAAGAACUUUGAAAAGAGGGUUAAACAGUACGUGAAAUUGUCAAAAGGGAAGCGUUUGACACCAGUGUUGUUUUUCUGAAAAUCAAUUAAAGAACUGUUUAUGCUAAGCUGUUUAGACUUUAUCAGCUAACUGUUUAGUUUUGAGCCUUUCUUUAAUGCACUUUUCAGUUAACAAGUCAACAUCAAUUUCUUUUGCUGUAAAAAAGCUUGAGGAAGGUGGCUUGAGAUUCGUCUUAAGUGUUUAUAGCCUCUUGCCUAUGCAGUCGGAGAGAUUGAGGUCUGCAGCGUAGAUCCUUCGGGGCUAAAUGCAUUUGUGCUAAGUUAUAGCAUUUUAUAGACAACUUGUUGACUAUGAUUUGUCUUGUAGCUUACUCGCUUAUGUUAUUUUACCUACGCUUAGGAUGUUGAGCGCAUGUCUCUCUCU